GGCCUGUUAGCUCAAGUGGUUAGAGCGUCGUGCUAAUAACGCGAAGGUCGCGGGUUCGAUCCCCCCAUAGGCGA
This 74-nucleotide transfer RNA is filed under the name Nephila pilipes (giant wood spider). It matches the Rfam family "tRNA". Rfam says of the family: Transfer RNA (tRNA) molecules are approximately 80 nucleotides in length. Lineage: Eukaryota; Metazoa; Arthropoda; Arachnida; Araneae; Nephilidae. The record is from Rfam by way of RNAcentral.